RNAcentral lists this long non-coding RNA (407 nucleotides) under Parus major (Great Tit). RNAcentral describes it as "lncRNA (ENSPMJG00000015211.1)". Lineage: Eukaryota; Metazoa; Chordata; Aves; Passeriformes; Paridae. The record is from RNAcentral.
CUGCAUCUGGCCAUUAUGAAGCCUGUCCAAACAACUGCACUUGUGAUGAAGACACUUUCAGAGGUAAUAAAUAAUUACGUCUGAAAUAAGGGUGAUAUAAUAUUUAUGUGCACAGCAAAAAUGGGUAUCAGAACUUAAAGUGAACCAGAUGGCUUAAGAAAGGACUCUGAACUGGAGGAUUUAAAAAUGCCCUUUGACUGUCAAGAUAAAGCUGGUAACUUUCCAUGGAGCCUUUUAGAAUGAUCCCAGUUUCCAGAAGAAACCCAUGCAGCUCUGGGACUUCAGGACAUAUGGGAUCUGCAUCUUUGUUGCUGACUCCCACUUCUGUUUUAAAAGGCAGCAAGAUAAACAGCCACUAUGGAAGGACUCUCCUCUGCUGUAUGAUCAGGCAAGCCAUGUCUUCUUAG